RNAcentral lists this ribosomal RNA (314 nucleotides) under uncultured bacterium. RNAcentral's name for it is "bacterial SSU rRNA". It matches the Rfam family "Bacterial small subunit ribosomal RNA", at positions 28 to 333 of the family's 1533-position model. The record is from RNAcentral.
GACGAACGCUGACGGUGUGCUUUAGACAUGCAAGUCGAACGAGAAAGCCCUUCGGGUUAGUAAAGUGGCGAACGGGUGAGUAACACGUGGGCGAAUCUGCCCCUCGCAGGGGGACAACCGGAGGAAACCCCGGCUAAUACCCCGUAACGUUCAAAGGGAGGCAUCUCCCCUUCGAAGAAAGGUAGCUUCGGCCAUCCGGCGAGGGAUGAGCCCGCGGUGCAUUAGCUAGUUGGUGGGGUAACGGCCCACCAAGGCGACGAUGCAUAGCUGGUCUGAGAGGAUGAUCAGCCACACUGGGACUGAGACACGGCCCA